GGAGGAUCCAAGCGUUAUCCGGAAUCAUUGGGUUUAAAGGGUCCGUAGGCGGUUUAGUAAGUCAGUGGUGAAAGCCCAUCGCUCAACGGUGGAACGGCCAUUGAUACUGCUAGACUUGAAUUAUUAGGAAGUAACUAGAAUAUGUAGUGUAGCGGUGAAAUGCUUAGAGAUUACAUGGAAUACCAAUUGCGAAGGCAGGUUACUACUAAUGGAUUGACGCUGAUGGACGAAAGCGUGGGUAGCGAACAGGAUUAGAUACCCUGGUAGUCCACGCCGUAAACGAUGGAUACUAGCUGUUGGGAGCGAUCUCAGUGGCUAAGCGAAAGUGAUAAGUAUCCCACCUGGGGAGUACGUUYGCAAG
Molecule: ribosomal RNA, 361 nt
Filed under: uncultured bacterium
Lineage: Bacteria
Description: bacterial SSU rRNA
Rfam family: Bacterial small subunit ribosomal RNA
Source: RNAcentral